This 682-nucleotide long non-coding RNA is filed under the name Homo sapiens (human). Its description in RNAcentral is "HSALNT0295921". Lineage: Eukaryota; Metazoa; Chordata; Mammalia; Primates; Hominidae. The record is from RNAcentral.
CCUAGGAGACAUUGGCAAAGACAGUGGGUCAACUGCAGAACUGGAGUGAGGGGAGACAACAGGUCGGCUUACCAUCUGAGUCCUUCUGAUUGGGAUUGGGUACCAGGCGGCAGUUAUCGGGACCAGGAGGCACAUAAUCUGGGAUGCCAUCAUUGUCAUCAUCCCCAUCACACUCAUCUCCAAGUCCAUCGUUAUCAGAGUCCAGCUGGGAGCUAUUUGGCAGCUGUGGGCAGUUGUCCUUGGUGUCCUGAUGCCCAUCCCCAUCGCUAAUCAGAAGAACAGGUUGGUGAAAGUCCCGAACUUUGUCUCCCCACCCAGAGGACAACUGGCCAGGAAAUCUGCCUGUUUCUUGUCUCACCCUCUAGUCCACACUCUGCCUAACACUACGCCCUACCUCACAUUCCUAUUGACAUCUGCUGCAGGUAAUCUCUCCUCACCCAGGCCAACGUCCACAAGCCUGCCUCCCUAUUUCACAGAGACUUCCUAGCUUCCCUGCUUCAUCCCCACCUGAUCCAAAUUCUCACAGGUCCCCCAGCCACCCCUUCAGCCCCAGGCCUGCACCAUCCCCAUCCACGUCGUUGUCACAGGCAUCUCCUUCCCCAUUGCCAUCUGUGUCCUUCUGGUCAUUGUUGGGAACGUUGGGGCAAUUGUCACAGGCAUCACCAAAUGAAUCUGUAUCUGA